Molecule: long non-coding RNA, 292 nt
Filed under: Brassica napus (rape)
Lineage: Eukaryota; Viridiplantae; Streptophyta; Magnoliopsida; Brassicales; Brassicaceae
Description: long non-coding RNA (BNAP_LNC018425)
Source: RNAcentral
AGAUACUUAACCGAAUCCCCUUGUUACUUAGUCACUUAGCCAACCAUCCCCACAUGACCAUGAACAAAGAGAGAUGGCUGGGUUCCAACCAGGCAUCCAGAACAGACAGUACGCCAGCCUUUCUAGCAUUCCAGCACCAAACUUCCGAUAACCGCCUCAGAUACUGUUACCCUUGAUCCAUAACCAGUCGCUAAUCAUACCAUGAUCAGACAGUACAUCAAUCGGUCUAUACAACUCUCGUUUCGACAGUAACCACACGGCCAUCCAGUCCCUCAGUCACACACAACACGCU